AAUUAACGUUAGCGGCGUGCCUGAUGCAUGCAAGUCGAACGCCCUGAUAAUUCGUAAGGAUUAUCAGGGAGUGGCGGACGGCUGAGUAACGCGUAAGUGACCUACCUUUAAGUGGGGAAUAACUUGCCGAAAGGCAGGCUAAUACCGCAUGUGCUGGUAAGUUGAGGCUUAUCAGCAAAGUCUUAGGACGCUUGAAGAGGGGCUUGCGUCUGAUUAGCUAGAUGGUUAGGGUAAUGGCUUACCAAGGCGGUGAUCAGUAGCUGGUCUGAGAGGACGAGCAGCCAGACGGGGACUGAGACACGGCCCUGACUCCUACGGGAGGCAGCAGCAAGGAAUUUUGCGCAAUGGGCGAAAGCCUGACGCAGCGACGCCGCGUGGGGGAUGACGGCCUUCGGGUUGUAAACCCCUUUUCUCGAGGAAGAAUAAUGACGGUACUCGAGGAAU
This 444-nucleotide ribosomal RNA is filed under the name uncultured bacterium. RNAcentral describes it as "bacterial SSU rRNA". It matches the Rfam family "Bacterial small subunit ribosomal RNA", at positions 29 to 487 of the family's 1533-position model. The record is from RNAcentral.